GUGUCAGCAGCCGCGGUAAUACAGAGGUCUCGAGCGUUAGUCGGAGUCACUGGGCUUAAAGCGUACGUAGGCGGAUAUGCAGGCGUCGUGUGAAAUCCCUUGGCUCAACCAAGGAACUGCACGGCGAACCGCAUGUCUUGAGAUCGGUAGGGGCGGUCGGAACGAUAGGUGGAGUGGUGAAAUGCGUUGAUAUCUAUCGGAACGCCGAAGGUGAAAGCAGGCCGCUGGGCCGAUUCUGACGCUGAGGUACGAAAGCGUGGGGAGCGAACGGGAUUAGAUACCCCCGUAGUCC
This 292-nucleotide ribosomal RNA is filed under the name uncultured bacterium. RNAcentral's name for it is "partial 16S ribosomal RNA". It matches the Rfam family "Bacterial small subunit ribosomal RNA", at positions 505 to 796 of the family's 1533-position model. The record is from RNAcentral.